UACGUAGGUGGCAAGCGUUGUCCGGAUUUACUGGGCGUAAAGAGCGCGCAGGCGGUCGUUCAAGUCGCGUGUGAAAGCCCCCGGCUCAACUGGGGAGGGUCACGCGAUACUGAUCGACUCGAAGGCAGGAGAGGGUAGUUGAAUUCCCGGUGUAGUGGUGAAAUGCGUAGAUAUCGGGAGGAACACCAGUGGCGAAGGCGACUACCUGGCCUGUUCUUGACGCUGAGGCGCGAAAGCUAGGGGAGCAAACGGG
This 253-nucleotide ribosomal RNA is filed under the name uncultured bacterium. RNAcentral's name for it is "partial 16S ribosomal RNA". It matches the Rfam family "Bacterial small subunit ribosomal RNA", at positions 524 to 776 of the family's 1533-position model. The record is from RNAcentral.